GCGAAUGGCUCAUUACAACAGCUAUAAUUUACUUGUUCUAUUCCUUUAAACGGAUAACUGCGGUAAUUCUGGAGCCAAUACGUGCUAAAAGCCGAAUUCAGCAAUGAGCUCGGUGCACUUAUCGGAGCAAAACCCUUCCUGGUUUUAUGCUAACUCUGGAUAACACUGCUUAUCGCACGACCUCGUGUCGGCGAAGUUACAUUCAAGUAUCUGCCUUAUCAACUUUCGAUGGCAGUGUAUUGGACUGCCAUGGUGUUGACGGGUAACGGAGAAUCAGGGUUCGACUCCGGAGAGGGAGCCUUAGAAACGGCUACCAUGUCUAAGGACAGCAGCAGGCGCGCAACUUAUCCACUGUUCAUUGAACGAGAUAGUGACGAGAAAUAACAAGUCCGUUCUCUAUGAGGUCGGACAUUGGAAUGGAUGGAAUCUAAACAAUUCCAUGAGUACCCACGAGAGGGCAAGUCUGGUGCCAGCAGCCGCGGUAAUUCCAGCU
Molecule: ribosomal RNA, 493 nt
Filed under: Aphelenchoides sp. 10 JH-2012
Lineage: Eukaryota; Metazoa; Nematoda; Chromadorea; Rhabditida; Aphelenchoididae
Description: SSU rRNA
Rfam family: Eukaryotic small subunit ribosomal RNA
Source: RNAcentral